UGCCUCGAUGGCGGAAUUGGUAGACGCGCUACAUUCAGGGUGUAGUGACCGUAAGGUCGUGCAAGUUCAAGUCUUGUUCGGGGUAU
Molecule: transfer RNA, 86 nt
Filed under: Bacteroidetes bacterium ADurb.Bin234
Lineage: Bacteria; Pseudomonadati; Bacteroidota
Description: tRNA-Ser
Rfam family: tRNA
About the family: Transfer RNA (tRNA) molecules are approximately 80 nucleotides in length. Their secondary structure includes four short double-helical elements and three loops (D, anti-codon, and T loops). Further hydrogen bonds mediate the characteristic L-shaped molecular structure. tRNAs have two regions of fundamental functional importance: the anti-codon, which is responsible for specific mRNA codon recognition, and the 3' end, to which the tRNAs corresponding amino acid is attached (by aminoacyl-tRNA synthetases). tRNAs cope with the degeneracy of the genetic code in two manners: having more than one tRNA (with a specific anti-codon) for a particular amino acid; and 'wobble' base-pairing, i.e. permitting non-standard base-pairing at the 3rd anti-codon position.
Source: RNAcentral